RNAcentral lists this ribosomal RNA (376 nucleotides) under uncultured bacterium. Its description in RNAcentral is "bacterial SSU rRNA". It matches the Rfam family "Bacterial small subunit ribosomal RNA", at positions 524 to 898 of the family's 1533-position model. The record is from RNAcentral.
GACAGAGGUGCCGAGCGUUAGGCGGAAUCACUGGGCUUAAAGCGUGUGUAGGCGGACUUCUAAGUACCUUGUGAAAUCCCACGGCUUAACCGUGGAACUGCUUGGUAUACUGGUUGUCUUGGGCCAUCUAGGGGCUACCGGAACAAACGGUGGAGCGGUGAAAUGCGUAGAUAUCGUUUGGAACGCCAAUGGUGAAAACAGGUAGCUGGGGAUGUGCCGACGCUGAGACACGAAAGCCAGGGGAGCGAACGGGAUUAGAUACCCCGGUAGUCCUGGCUGUAAACGAUGUCGACUAGAUCGUAGUGGCUCUAACGCUAUUACGGUCGAAGCAAAAGUGCUAAGUCGACCGCCUGGGAAGUACGGUCGCAAGGCUAAA